UCACUUGAUGGGCAAGAAUGACUAAUUG
RNAcentral lists this small RNA (28 nucleotides) under Bombyx mori (domestic silkworm). RNAcentral's name for it is "ovarian small RNA-25491". Lineage: Eukaryota; Metazoa; Arthropoda; Insecta; Lepidoptera; Bombycidae. The record is from RNAcentral.